This 569-nucleotide ribosomal RNA is filed under the name Saccharomyces cerevisiae (brewer's yeast). RNAcentral's name for it is "eukaryotic LSU rRNA". It matches the Rfam family "Eukaryotic large subunit ribosomal RNA", at positions 51 to 634 of the family's 3401-position model. Lineage: Eukaryota; Fungi; Ascomycota; Saccharomycetes; Saccharomycetales; Saccharomycetaceae. The record is from RNAcentral.
CGGAGGAAAAGAAACCAACCGGGAUUGCCUUAGUAACGGCGAGUGAAGCGGCAAAAGCUCAAAUUUGAAAUCUGGUACCUUCGGUGCCCGAGUUGUAAUUUGGAGAGGGCAACUUUGGGGCCGUUCCUUGUCUAUGUUCCUUGGAACAGGACGUCAUAGAGGGUGAGAAUCCCGUGUGGCGAGGAGUGCGGUUCUUUGUAAAGUGCCUUCGAAGAGUCGAGUUGUUUGGGAAUGCAGCUCUAAGUGGGUGGUAAAUUCCAUCUAAAGCUAAAUAUUGGCGAGAGACCGAUAGCGAACAAGUACAGUGAUGGAAAGAUGAAAAGAACUUUGAAAAGAGAGUGAAAAAGUACGUGAAAUUGUUGAAAGGGAAGGGCAUUUGAUCAGACAUGGUGUUUUGUGCCCUCUGCUCCUUGUGGGUAGGGGAAUCUCGCAUUUCACUGGGCCAGCAUCAGUUUUGGUGGCAGGAUAAAUCCAUAGGAAUGUAGCUUGCCUCGGUAAGUAUUAUAGCCUGUGGGAAUACUGCCAGCUGGGACUGAGGACUGCGACGUAAGUCAAGGAUGCUGCAACCC